This 267-nucleotide ribosomal RNA is filed under the name uncultured bacterium. Its description in RNAcentral is "partial 16S ribosomal RNA". It matches the Rfam family "Bacterial small subunit ribosomal RNA", at positions 524 to 796 of the family's 1533-position model. The record is from RNAcentral.
UACGUAGGUGGCAAGCGUUGUCCGGAAUUAUUGGGCGUAAAGCGCGCGCAGGUGGUUUAAUAAGUCUGAUGUGAAAGCCCACGGCUCAACCGUGGAGGGUCAUUGGAAACUGUUAAACUUGAGUGCAGGAGAGAAAGUGGAAUUCCUAGUGUAGCGGUGAAAUGCGUAGAGAUUAGGAGGAACACCAGUGGCGAAGGCGGCUUUUGGCCUGUAACUGACACUGAGGCGCGAAAGCGUGGGAGCAACAGGAUUAGAUACCCGUAGUCC